AUACGUAGGGGGCGAGCGUUGUCCGGAAUGAUUGGGCGUAAAGGGCGCGUAGGCGGCCCGGUAAGUCUGGAGUGAAAGUCCUGUUUUUAAGAUGGGAAUUGCUUUGGAUACUGUCGGGCUUGAGUGCAGGAGAGGUAAGUGGAAUUCCCAGUGUAGCGGUGAAAUGCGUAGAGAUUGGGAGGAACACCAGUGGCGAAGGCGACUUACUGGACUGUAACUGACGCUGAGGCGCGAAAGUGUGGGGAGCAAACAGGAUUAGAUACCCUGGUAGUCCACACUGUAAACGAUGAAUGCUAGGUGUAGAGGGUAUCGACCCCUUCUGUGCCGCAGUCAACACAAUAAGCAUUCCGCCUGGGGAGUACGGCCGCAAGGUUGAAACUCAAAUGAAUUGACGGGG
This 397-nucleotide ribosomal RNA is filed under the name uncultured bacterium. RNAcentral's name for it is "partial 16S ribosomal RNA". It matches the Rfam family "Bacterial small subunit ribosomal RNA", at positions 523 to 918 of the family's 1533-position model. The record is from RNAcentral.